RNAcentral lists this long non-coding RNA (262 nucleotides) under Homo sapiens (human). Its description in RNAcentral is "LHRI_LNC962.1". Lineage: Eukaryota; Metazoa; Chordata; Mammalia; Primates; Hominidae. The record is from RNAcentral.
CUUAUCUUACUUUUUCUUCUUUUUGAAACAUUUAUUAAUAUUAAAUCUCAUACAACUUUUGUGAAUCUAGAAAGCUAAUUUUGCAUGUAAAUUUUAAAAUUAUUUUGUUAGAUUCCCUCAGUUUGAGAUGUUCUUAACCUGGGACCUUAUGGAUAGAAUUCAGAGGAUCCAUAAACUUGGAUUGGAGGUUACUAACUUCUGAUAAAUUGAGCAUUUUUUUUUUUCCAUUGUUAGUGUUGGCAACAAAUACAUAAUAUCAUCA